GGGGGAAUGGGACAACUGUAAUAGCAUAACCGAAAAAAUAUACUUUAAAAAAAAAGAAAAUAGAGUCAAAUGUCCACAACCUCAUUAGGUUUUUAAACAAGGAGUGGUAACAGUCCAAAACCUAUGGGACACAGCAAAGGCCGUCCUGACAGGGAAGUUCCUACCAAUGAAGGCCUACCUACAAAACAUAGAAACAUUUCAAAUAAACUACCUAACCUUAUUUAUACAAGAACAAGAGGAACAACAACAAACAAAGCCCAGA
Molecule: long non-coding RNA, 262 nt
Organism: Phyllostomus discolor (pale spear-nosed bat)
Lineage: Eukaryota; Metazoa; Chordata; Mammalia; Chiroptera; Phyllostomidae
Exons: 3
Source: RefSeq, a predicted model, not a curated record